GAUGAACGCUGGCGGCGUGCCUAAUACAUGCAAGUCGAGCGAACGGACGAGAAGCUUGCUUCUCUGAUGUUAGCGGCGGACGGGUGAGUAACACGUGGAUAACCUACCUAUAAGACUGGGAUAACUUCGGGAAACCGGAGCUAAUACCGGAUGAUAUUUUGAACCGCAUGGUUCAAAAGUGAAAGACGGUCUUGCUGUCACUUAUAGAUGGAUCCGCGCUGCAUUAGCUAUUUGGUAAGGUAACGGCUUACCAAGGCAACGAUGCAUAGCCGACCUGAGAGGGUGAUCGGCCACACUGGAACUGAGACACGGUCCAGACUCCUACGGGAGGCAGCAGUAGGGAAUCUUCCGCAAUGGGCGAAAGCCUGACGGAGCAACGCCGCGUGAGUGAUGAAGGUCUUCGGAACGUAAAACUCUGUUAUUAGGGAAGAACAUAUGUGUAAGUAACUGUGCACAUCUUGACGGUACCUAAUCAGAAAGCCACGGCUAACUACGUG
RNAcentral lists this ribosomal RNA (497 nucleotides) under uncultured bacterium. RNAcentral describes it as "partial 16S ribosomal RNA". It matches the Rfam family "Bacterial small subunit ribosomal RNA", at positions 28 to 507 of the family's 1533-position model. The record is from RNAcentral.